Molecule: ribosomal RNA, 392 nt
Filed under: uncultured bacterium
Lineage: Bacteria
Description: partial 16S ribosomal RNA
Rfam family: Bacterial small subunit ribosomal RNA
Source: RNAcentral
AUACGUAGGAUGCGAGCGUUAUCCGGAUUUAUUGGGUUUAAAGGGUGCGCAGGCGGCCAUUUAAGUCAGCGGUUAAAUCGUGGGGCUCAACCCCAUUCUGCCGUUGAUACUGGGUGGCUUGAUUGCGGUCGAGGUUGGCGGAAUUCGUUGUGUAGCGGUGAAAUGCAUAGAUAUGACGAAGAACACCGAUUGCGUAGGCAGCUGACCAGAUCGCAAAUGACGCUCAUGCACGAAAGUGCGGGGAUCGAACAGGAUUAGAUACCCUGGUAGUCCGCACAGUAAACGAUGAAUACUUGUUUUCGGCGAUAUAAUGUCGGAGGCAAAGCGAAAGCGAUAAGUAUUCCACCUGGGGAGUACGCCGGCAACGGUGAAACUCAAAUGAAUUGACGGGG